UACGGAGGAUGCAAGCGUUAUCCGGAAUGAUUGGGCGUAAAGCGUCCGCAGGUGGCUAUGUAAGUCUGCUGUUAAAGAGUGAGGCUCAACCUCAUAAGAGCAGUGGAAACUACAUGGCUAGAGUGCGUUCGGGGCAGAGGGAAUUCCUGGUGUAGCGGUGAAAUGCGUAGAUAUCAGGAAGAACACCGGUGGCGAAAGCGCCCUGCUAGGCCGCAACUGACACUGAGGGACGAAAGCUAGGGGAGCGAAUGGG
This 253-nucleotide ribosomal RNA is filed under the name uncultured bacterium. RNAcentral describes it as "partial 16S ribosomal RNA". It matches the Rfam family "Bacterial small subunit ribosomal RNA", at positions 524 to 776 of the family's 1533-position model. The record is from RNAcentral.